UACGUAGGGUGCGAGCGUUAAUCGGAAUUACUGGGCGUAAAGCGUGCGUAGGCGGUUCGUUAUGUCUGCUGUGAAAUCCCCGGGCUCAACCUGGGAACUGCAUUUGUGACUGCACGGCUCGAGUGCGGCAGAGGGGGAUGGAAUUCCGCGUGUAGCAGUGAAAUGCGUAGAUAUGCGGAGGAACACCGAUGGCGAAGGCAAUCCCCUGGGCCUGCACUGACGCUCAUGCACGAAAGCGUGGGGAGCAAACAGG
RNAcentral lists this ribosomal RNA (253 nucleotides) under uncultured bacterium. RNAcentral describes it as "partial 16S ribosomal RNA". It matches the Rfam family "Bacterial small subunit ribosomal RNA", at positions 524 to 776 of the family's 1533-position model. The record is from RNAcentral.